CUACGGGCCGCAGCAGGCGAGAAAACUUUGCAAUGUGCGAAAGCACGACAAGGUUAAUCCGAGUGGUUUCUGCUAAAGGAACCUUUUGUCGGUCCUAGAAACACCGAUGAAUAAGGGGUGGGCAAGUUCUGGUGUCAGCCGCCGCGGUAAAACCAGCACCUCAAGUGGUCAGGAUGAUUAUUGGGCCUAAAGCAUCCGUAGCCGGCUCUGUAAGUUUUCGGUUAAAUCUGUACGCUUAACGUACAGGCUGCCGGGAAUACUGCAUAGCUAGGGAGUGGGAGAGGUAGACGGUACUCGGUAGGAAGGGGUAAAAUCCUUUGAUCUAUUGAUGACCACCUGUGGCGAAGGCGGUCUACCAGAACACGUCCGACGGUGAGGGAUGAAAGCUGGGGGAGCAAACCGGAUUAGAUACCCCAGUAGUC
Molecule: ribosomal RNA, 422 nt
Filed under: uncultured archaeon
Lineage: Archaea
Description: partial 16S ribosomal RNA
Rfam family: Archaeal small subunit ribosomal RNA
Source: RNAcentral